AGCUACAGCUGCUUAAAAAUUAUCUGACUCCAACAUUGGCAGUCACCAUGACGGGGCCACCACUGAGAAAAGACUACAGUUUCAUUCAUUCUGAUCAAAUUCAACUUGGUGUUGUCAGUUCCUUCCUGAAGUUUAGGCUUGCUUGGGGGAAAACUUCAGAAGUCCAAUUUUGAUGCCCAUGAUUUGACAAAGCCCAUGAUGCUAGCCAUUGUGAAAUUCAUCGGAUGGGAGCUGGUCUUCUUUCUGCUCUUCUCUGUCUGUUCUGAAAGAAAAACAAAGAAUGAGAACAGUGUGUUCCGAGAGAUCCUCACGUUUGAAUCCCUCAUUUUAUAGCUCUUGGCAGGAGAAAUCCACCUUCAGUAAUAAAGAAAAAUAAGUUUAUGAACCAUGACUUUAUGUUGCAUUUGACUCCCAGAUUCUGAUGAAGCCAUCAUGGGGAAUAUGCUAUUAACUAUAUAGCUUCCCAGCUUGCAAGAAUAUGCAAGGGUGACACUCCAGGUAAAGCCUGUGGGUCCCUUCACACCUGCUUGUGUCUGAGUACCUGUUCAUAACUGAGGGUUGUCUCUGUGCCUGAGAACUCAGCGGUGUUAAAAUUCAAGUGCUCCGUAUUUUUAAAAAUAUCUUAUUCCUCACAGUGAAUUCUAGAAUCCAAGGAUCUGCUCUGCUCUGCCAACAUCAAAGUACUGAGUGGGAGGCUGGAGCAGAACAUGUAUAUAAAUCUGGUAAACAGUGUUUAAAAUUAGUAUGUGACAACCACAAUUUUUAUCCUUUUCCAUGGCUUCCCUUGGGCAUUAAUUAAUACAACAUUUUAAGCAUUUUCUCUUGCAGAGUUACUUGUCCUGUGUAUUAAAAUAUUCAGACUAUGCAUCCAACAGACAGAAAUACUAAAUUUUAAUGACUAUUUCUGAAAUAGCAGGGAGUUGCAAUGGUCAUACUCAGUCUGUAAUAGACAUCGGUAAAACUGAAAUCCUCUCCAUUAAUAUGCAGAUGAGCCAAGUUUGAAAAUUACCUUUUGGAGGGAGAGAUGUUUUGUUCCUGAUGGAAAGUUAAAAUUAGGGUAUGUUACUAUGAUUUUGGGAAAUGGUCUCUGUAUCUACCUGUUUAUUAUUGUCUGUCUCUUAUCUCUCCUUUCUUCCUUCCCCUCUCUUCCCUCUGAUUCCUUUCCUUCCUCCUCCCUCCCUCCCCAUCCCUCUCUUUUUCCUUCCCUUCCUCUCUUAUUUGAAUAUAGAAAAUUGAAUUCUGCUAUAUCAGUCUUCUGCACUUUAUCUUUGUAUUGUUUAUGAGAAUAAAAAUGGUAUCAAAACUAAUAUAGAUGCAUAUUAGAUGUUAAAAACUUGUUCUCCCAUUGUUUACAAAUAUUCCUUUUUUAAUCAUCUACCUGGUAAAUGACUGAUUGAAUGUAUAACCAAAGCACACUGCUCGUUUGGACUUACAACUAGUUUUUUUUUUUUCCUAACAGUUCUGUAUAUCCUGUUUACAGAGCCUCAAUAUCCUUUUCUGUGUACAGUAUACCUUGGUUAUAUAGCACUAUAAU
Long non-coding RNA from Cavia porcellus (domestic guinea pig), 1534 nucleotides. RefSeq lists it as uncharacterized. The transcript has 3 exons. The record is from RefSeq and is a predicted model, not a curated record. NCBI's taxonomy places the organism in Eukaryota, Metazoa, Chordata, Mammalia, Rodentia, Caviidae.